UUUUAUUAAUUUGUAAAUGGCUCCUCGUUAGGAGGAUUAAAUAAAACUUUCUUGUUGAAGCAAUCUAUGGUGGCGUGAUACGCCGCUAGCCAAUCCAUUCCUAAGAUUACAUCAAAAUUCCUGUGUCUAACCCUAUUAGGUCUACACUCAGUUUCCUAUUUGCUAUCUCUACGGCACAAACCCUAUAGAUAGCUUCCCCUAGUAGUGUUUCACCCCCAGCAGUAGACACAAACAAUAGUGAUUCAAGUUUAUCAGGUGAUACAUUAAUUUUAGAAGCAAAAGCAUGUGAAACAAAAGAGUGCGAUGCACCAGUGUCAAAUAAAACAUGAGCAAUAUGGUCACAGAUAGUAUACAUACCCUGUACCACAUCCAGGUCGGCGUCGGCAUCCUGCUGGGUAAGGUUGUAAGCUCUGCCCUGGAUAGGAGGCCUCCCUUGAUUCUGGUUCCUCGGGCAUUCUCUGGCAUAAUGCUGGACACUGCCACAAAUGCGACAAGUGUUGUUGAGGCGGUAGCAGGGUUAGUCCCCGUGAUCUUUGCCACAGUGUUGACAGAUCUUCCCACGUGCUGCCCCU
Molecule: long non-coding RNA, 572 nt
Filed under: Carica papaya (papaya)
Lineage: Eukaryota; Viridiplantae; Streptophyta; Magnoliopsida; Brassicales; Caricaceae
Description: long non-coding RNA (CPAP_LNC010317)
Source: RNAcentral